GAUGGGAGCUUGCUCCCUGAUGUUAGCGGCGGACGGGUGAGUAACACGUGGGUAACCUGCCUGUAAGACUGGGAUAACUCCGGGAAACCGGGGCUAAUACCGGAUGCUUGUUUGAACCGCAUGGUUCAAACAUAAAAGGUGGCUUCGGCUACCACUUACAGAUGGACCCGCGGCGCAUUAGCUAGUUGGUGAGGUAAUGGCUCACCAAGGCGACGAUGCGUAGCCGACCUGAGAGGGUGAUCGGCCACACUGGGACUGAGACACGGCCCAGACUCCUACGGGAGGCAGCAGUAGGGAAUCUUCCGCAAUGGACGAAAGUCUGACGGAGCAACGCCGCGUGAGUGAUGAAGGUUUUCGGAUCGUAAAGCUCUGUUGUUAGGGAAGAACAAGUACCGUUCGAAUAGGGCGGUACCUUGACGGUACCUAACCAGAAAGCCACGGCUAACUACGUGCCAGCAGCCGCGGUAAUACGUAGGUGGCAAGCGUUGUCCGGAAUUAUUGGGCGUAAAGGGCUCGCAGGCGGUUCCUUAAGUCUGAUGUGAAAGCCCCCGGCUCAACCGGGGAGGGUCAUUGGAAACUGGGGAA
This 585-nucleotide ribosomal RNA is filed under the name bacterium. RNAcentral's name for it is "bacterial SSU rRNA". It matches the Rfam family "Bacterial small subunit ribosomal RNA", at positions 71 to 640 of the family's 1533-position model. The record is from RNAcentral.